CCGGAUCGCCGCCGAAGCCCGCUCUUCGCCGCCUCAGGCCGAACGGAGGAAGCGGGCGCGGCUGAGCCCGCCUGGCGACGGAAGAGCCCCUCACCGCCGCUGUGGGUCAGGUACCCCCUUUCCUUCUCCCCAGGCGGGAUGCGGCAGCGGCGACCGGCAACCUGCAGCUCGUGGUGCACGAGGGGCGGAUGAGGCGGGCUCCGCCCUGCCUCCUACUGGCCGGUGCAGAAUGGAACAUGAGGCCUUCCAGCUAGAAAAGCAACAUGUCCAUAAGGUCUAUGAAAGCACAGCCUCUUAUUUCAAUGACUUGCAAGGCAAAGCGUGGCCCCGGGUCCGACAGUUUCUACUUGAACAGAAGCCUGGCAGCCUGAUUGCAGAUAUUGGCUGUGGGACUGGAAAAUAUCUUGAUGUCAACCACCUAGUGUAUAAUCUUGGAUGCGAUUAUUGUGGCCCCUUAAUAGAGAUUGCAAGAAGUAAAGGCUGUGAAGUAAUGAUCUGUGAUAACCUACACCUCCCUUUUCGGGACCUGUGCUUCAAUGCCAUCAUCUCCGUGGGAGUGAUUCAUCAUUUCUCCACAAAACAAAGACGGAUCCAGGCGAUCCAGGAAAUGGUCAGGGUGCUGGUACCCGGUGGCCAAAUGAUGAUUUACGUCUGGGCUAUGGAGCAAAAAACCCGGCAUUUUGAGAAACAGGACAUAUUUGUCCCUUGGAACAAAGCCUUGUGUUCACGGUUGCUUUCAGAAUCCAACAACACUGGUAUUGCAUCCCCCACGGAAACUCAGACAAUGCACUCAAAGCCACCGAUAAGUUCAAAACGCAGCCACCCUGGUCUCCUUGAUCAGAAACAUCCUCUGAGAUUGGGUAACUGCCUCCCUGGAUCCUGCUGCGUGAAAAUUACUGAAGACGAAGAAAAAAGAUUUUACGGUGCCCUCGGGAGAUCUUUUCGUUCCUGGUUUUCCUCCAGAUCACUUGACGAGUCUGCCUUAAGAAAGCAAAAUGAAAAGAUGGAGCCCUUGAAGGAUGCGGUGGGAUGGACGAGCAACGCCAUUUCUAUUCAGCCCCUUAGGCACUGCAGUGUAGACUUAGGGUGUCAGUCAGCAUUGCUCAGGGAACGGCGGCUAGAUCACUAUGAUGACGUGUUUACAAAGUGCGUGGCUUGUAAAGAAAUCCAGCGGCUGGCAGCUUCAGGGUCCCUGAGGGGUUUUAACGGGGAGCCGGCUACAUUGGUCCAACACCACAACGGAGAAACCUCGUUUCUAAGAGGGUCUGUGGAAAACAUAAAGAAUAGCUGUAGCCAUCAAAGCAAGAGUCAUUCCUUUGCAGGAAAAGCCUUGAGAAGGAUUUCAUCUGUUAGCUCCAGUAACUCGGUGGUAGACUCAGCGGUGGCGGUGGGAGACUGCGCGGUUAACGGACAGGACCCCAGAGCCUUCAUGCGCUAUUACCAUGUUUUUCGCGAAGGGGAGCUGUGCUCUCUCCUCGAAGACAACGUUCCUGAGGUUCGCAUAAUAAUCUGGAAACUCUCUGACUGAUUUCAAGAAUGGUACCAACCAGUUGUGCUUUGGGGGAUGAAGUGAUCUCCAAUGGUCUCCAAGAUCAUUACAACCAUGGUGGUUUUGUCUAGACCAAGGUGUCCAACCUUGGCAACUGUAAGACCUGUGGACUUCAACUCCCAGAGUUCCCCAACUAGGGGAAUUCUGGAAGUUGAAGUCCACAAGUCUUAAAAGUUGCCAAGCUUGGACACUCUUGUUCUAGAACUAUACUCAGCAAUGUUACUACAUUCUGGUUUACUUGUCAGAAUGGCCUGGGUCUUAGUUCACACUACAGUUGGCAGAGUGUCAUUCAUCUUUCAUCCACACAACAAGCGAAAGAGAUUAUCCAUAUUCUUUUUCAAAGGGAGGUUUUGAACCGAGUUCCAUUUCUGAAUUUCAUUAGAACAUCUCUUGUUUUUGAGGCAUUGUUGCAGUGGGUUAUUUCCCCCCUACUUCUACAUCACAGUCGCUGUAGUCACAUAUUAAGGACAACUAUACUUGGAGCACAAUCAACAGAACUACGUAAAUAAUAGUGCUGUAAAUUUGCAGGAUUGCUUGGAGAAAUUUGAAAAGUUGUGUACCUGUUACUUGUGUUUGUAGAUUAAAUGCAUGCUACAAGUCAUAACAUGGGGUUCUAAAGAUGGGAGAAGACUCCAGUGCUGCUGCUCUUUCAUGUGACUUUAAAAAUUAUAUCUGGUCAAUAUAUGUGUGCCAAAGCAAAAAGGAUGCUUUGGAUAUUCACAGUUGCCAAGAAAAAACCAAGAAAACAGAACGGAGUUGACUAUGUCAUCUGUUAGAUGAGAUGCAAAACAAUCAUAGAUUUCCUUCCUACCAAUUCUUCCCCUUCCUACCACCUCAAUUAAGUGGAAGGAGCAAAAGGUUUAUUCAAAACAGGUUCCGCUGUUUUGAAGCCCUUUGAGUUGGCCCUAAAUGCAGCAUUGUUUGGUUAGGAUACAUCUAAAUCAUUACCACUCAGAAAUCCUGCAACUCAGAAAAUCUAUAAAAGUAGCAGAAAAAAAACAUUGGCUUGGUAUAAGGAUGAUGAGCUAGUACGGUGUUAAGUGCCUAGUAGUGAUCCAAGUACACACUGAACAGGAAGGCAUCCCUAAUACAAAUUUAGCUAGGUGAUAUGCUAAGUCUAAGACCUUUUGCAUUACAGAUACUGUAAUCCUUGACUUGCCACUAGAAAUGGGACCGGAAUUUCGGUCCUAUGUUAUUGAGGUCAUAAAUCGAGGCACCACCUGACUGGAAUUUAUACUUGGUUUUACGAAUGUGAUUAAGUAAAUCAUGGUUAAAUGAAACAAUGGUUAGUAAGUGAACCACACAGUUAUAAAUACCAACUCAUUUUAUCCAAUGAUAUUUUUUUUUUGCUGAAAAAUGCCAAAAAUGUUGCAAAACACAAUCAUCUGAUUGUGGAACCCUGCAACCGAUCAUAAAUAUGAGCCAAGUGGCCAAAAUGCAAUUAUGUGACCACAGCGGUGAUGUCGCAGUCGUAACUUUGAGGAUGGGUCGUAAGUAACUUUUUUUUCUAGUCCAGGGAUAGGCAACCCUGGCUCUUUUAUGACUCGUGGACUUCAACUCCCAGAAUUCCUGAGCCAGCCAUGCUGAGAGGAAAGGGAGAGG
Crotalus tigris (Tiger rattlesnake) is the source of this 3151-nucleotide RNA transcript. It is a transcript of the gene named tRNA methyltransferase 9B (putative), with no coding region annotated. The transcript has 6 exons. NCBI's taxonomy places the organism in Eukaryota, Metazoa, Chordata, Lepidosauria, Squamata, Viperidae. The record is from RefSeq and is a predicted model, not a curated record.